AAUGAGUAGAGACGGUUUAAUUGGUGGGGGGCAAAAGGGGCAUAAUUAGUUUGUUUAAAGUAUAAGAGGUUAAUUUGUUGGAAAUGAGGAGACAUUGGCAUUUUAUGGUUAGGAAUGAAGGAAAUAUUUUAACUCUGAAAGCAUAAUUCAUAUAUAUUUAUCCAUAUGCCAUCCACGUGCAAAGAUCUGAGUUCAUUUAGGCCAAAAUCUCAGCAAAAGUAAGUUUUUUUGAAUAUAUUUUACUGAGUUUUAAGUUGGAUUUUACUUGACCUAAAUCUUAUCGUAACAGACUGUCAUAUAAUUGUAUAGGCUGAAGUUACUUUUGGCCAUUAUUUAUAACUGUAUCGUAUGUAUGAAUCGAUUGAUACGCUUUGUUUAAAGUAAAAAAGAAAUUGAGAGAGAUAGGAAGGAGAUUUGUAACGAUACAUUUUCUGAUAUAAACACUCUCAAUAUUUGUGUGUGCGUGUUUUUGUGUGUAGAUACAAAUAUCAUUAAUUCAAUCAACCUGUCAAUCGAUUGAUUAUUUCCCUAUAUUCAUAAGAUGGCAAUGAUUUUGGAAUACGGAGAGGGACGGUUUAAACACUUCGAUUCUAGUCAUUCAAAGUUUGUUGGUAGAGGCAAAGGAUAAAUUUAAAAGAAUGAAUGAACACAAUGGCCAGGAUGAAAAUGGAUCUAGCAAGACAAAACUAAAUAAUAACAAUAAUAACAGUAGUAAUAGUAAUAAUAAUAAUAAUAAUAAAGAGUACGAAUCGUUAAAGAGGAAGAAAAGUUUUAAAGCUUGUAAGAGAUGCGAAGAAUUGAAAAGUCAAAUAGAAACUUUAACGGAUGCUUUCAAAGACGAAAAGAGAAAUUUGAGAUUGGAUAAAAUUAAUCUUAUGCACGAAGUUAGAAAAUUAAGGAAAUCUCAGAUGGAAAGGGAAAUCUUUGUUGAGAAUUUCUGCCGUCAAUACGAACAGAAAAUGAUUAAAUUUGAUGAAACUCUUUUGGAAACUAUUCGCGAAAAGAAGAAUUUGGAAAUUCUCAAUUCAGAAUUGAAAAAAGAAAAGGAGAAUCUCGCUAAAAAAAUCGAUACUAGCAGACAACAAUUAAUGCUUGCAAAUUCGAGAAUUUUACUAUUGGAAAGGGAACGAACUACGUCGACCAAAAAGAAAAAAGGACAGACGAGAGCUCAUUCGGCGAGCAAUUUAAGCCCCUUGGACCGUCAUCUAAUCAUUUCUGAGCCUAUUGAAUCGCUGAUUAAUAGGAAUAUAAACGGAAAGCCAAUUUCCUCCGAAAGCUUACAUUCUUUCAAAAAUCGAGACAAAGACGUCCAAAAUGAGGAGAGUUUAAAAGCUACAGAUGGAGCCACCGAUAAGAUUGAUCGUAAACGAAUGGAAGAGGAUCAAGUUCGGCAAGUGGUAGACACUUGGCAAAAAUUGAGUAAGAAGAGGACGAGCUUUUCAAAUAUUUCCAAGUUUUUCGGUAGAAAUCGAAAUAGUAGAAGCGAUUUGAGAAAGACGAAAAGUCUUCGAGAUUUUACAGUCGAUGAAGUCGCCGCCUGGUUUGAUCAAUUUUUAGGUAUGGCUUGCUAUAAAGAGGAGAUAAAAGAUAGCGUUUGCGAUGGAAAGAUGCUUUUGGGUGUUGAUACUUCGGCGUUGAGUUCAAUCAUUAAGUUCAAGUCACCUUUACAUUGUAGAAAAGUAAAAAUCGCUUUGGAAAGAUACAGAAACGAUACCUCGAAUCCGUAUUCUUUAACGGAUUACAUAGACAACUAUUGGGUAUCGACUACGUUCCUGGAACACGUUGGACUUACUAGAUACGCAAAUAAAUUUACUGAACAAUUGAUUGACGGUCCAGUUUUAUUAUCAUUAGUCGAAAGAGAUUUGGAAGAGUUUUUAGAAAUAAACGAAUCUUUCCAUAAAAUUAGUAUCAUUUGUGGUAUAGCAAUGAUGAAAAUUCUCUCAAUGAAUAAGAACUUGUUGGAAGAGAGGCAGAAAAAGUGCGAGACUAUUGACGAAGAUUUAUUGGUUUGGAGCAAUUAUCGUGUUCGAAAGUGGUUAGAUAGUAUAAAUCUUCAACAAUAUUCGGAUAAAAUUGUAGAUAGUGGUAUACACGGUGCAGUUUUCCUCCUUGACGAACACUUCCAAGCUGAAUAUUUAGUGGAAAAAUUAGCUAUUAGUCAGAGAAGUUUGAGGAAACACCUGUCGGAGCGCUUUGAAGUUCUUACGAGAUCUGCCAGACCCACUAGUGCGAUUUUUAGUGAUUCGACGAACGAAAGAAGAAGCUCUGCAAAUUCUUGGAAAGAUUCUCUUGGAAGGAUUUUAAGAGGAAGAUCGAGAAGUAGAUCAGACGCUUUUAAUUGAAAACUUUCAUUUUUUUUUUGACAAGCAAAUUUUAUUGACAUAUACAAAAUAUUUACAGAGCAUAUGAUGAAUGUUCAUGCAGUGUAGGCGACAUAUAUAAAAAUAUAAAAUAUAUUUGCAUGCAUUAAAUAUAUACAUAUAUGUAUAUAUAUAAGAUCUAUGGAAAAUGCAUAUAGAAUUUUAGCAUAAACUCUUACAGCAUAGCUUGGAUGUAUGCAUAUAUACAUACUGAUAGUCGUUUUUAUAAAAGUACGUACUGUUCAUACAGUAUGUAUAUUAAGGAAACAAAUAUAUUUUUGUAUUAGUAUUAUGUCUACAACUACGAAGAAUUUGCACAAUUAUUAAACUUUUAUCGUUCAUUGUUUCUUACAUUUCUCCUUUUUCUAUUUAUUUUAACAUUUUUCUUUUAAAAAAAAAAAAAACAAUAAAAGAAAAGUGAGAAAACCUUAAAUUAUAAUUCAAACAAAUAAAAAAAAAGGAAAAACAAACAAACAAACAAACAACGAAAAAAUACUGAAAAGUAUAACAUAUAAUAUCACAUUCUGUGCUCUUUUUCAUUAUUUUAAGUACGAAAAGGGAAGGAAACAAAUGUUUUUUCCCUUUUUUCUCAUACUUAUUCACCUUUGACGGAGACGAUAUUAUUCAAAGCAAAAAAUUGGCACAUGGAAAAAAAAUUACAAUACACCCUUUUCAUUUUCCUCCGACUGACUAAAUGAAACGUGGAAACUGUUUCUUUUUAUUUUGUUUUUUUCUCAAUUAAUUUUUAUUUUUUUGUUAUUUUUUCCUCUUUUAAUAAAGAUUUUGGACGGAUAUUCAAUUCUUUCCAUUAUGUAAAAUAUAUAUAAAGAUAUUCCACCUCUAGAUAAAUAUUCAAAAAUAUAUUAUUAUUAUUAUUAAUAUUAAUUGUGUUCAUUAGUCAAUUUUUACGAAUAGAUUAUGUAGUGUUGUUUUAUGAUGCUACUGCUACAAAAAACAAUUCAAAAUUUGCUCAAAUUGUCAUAUUUUACAAAUAAAGGAAAAAGGUAUAAAAAGGAAAACAAAAAACAAAACUGCACAUUUUAAUACAUCUUAUAUUAUCAUACAAUAUAUGACAGAAACAUAUUGUGUAAUGCGUGACGUAACAAUGCUGUUGGACAGAUUGCAGGUAUGUGCUUGUUCUUCAUAAAACUAAAAAACAAACAGAGAAAAACAAACAAAUAAACGUUUCGUUCGAUUGGUCCGCUUUCACCAGCCUAGAAUUAUUCUUGUUACUCAUUAUUAGGUCAGCGUAUUUUAGAAAAAAUAACAAUCGUGUUGAUAUGAUUUAUUUUUUCUGAAAUGGUGUGCUUUCCUAAUAAAAAGCAAUAAGAUUUUUCUCUCUUUAUAUAUAUACUGUAUAUGCUUUUAAUACAAUUUAAUAUAUAACAACCUGGAUAAAUGAGGCACUAAAUAUUUUCAAUUUUGCAUAUGUUAAUUAAUAAAUUACAUUGACGAUACAUAUGUGUACCUGUAAAAUUUGGAUUUAUUCCUAUGUACAAAGAUGAUAUGAUUGUAGAUUGUUAUAUGUAUAAAAUGGACGUUAUGCAACUGUAUCUCGUAAAAGUAGAGAGUAGAAUAGAUGUUUAGAAUAGAAAAUAACGAUUAUAUACUAUACAAAUAUAUAUAUGUAUAUUUAAAGAAUUUAGUGUUAUACGCUACAAAUUCUCUUUCCCUCCUUACAGGCGAAAAGUUUCAAUUCUUUCUUAUUUUCCUCGAAAUUACUUUGAUUGCAUUUUUCAAAAUGAUUAUUAAGAAAGAACUUGAACAAACAAAGAAAGAAGACAGCAAGGAGAAAAAGUUAAUGUCAUUCGUUUCAUUCCUUUUUUUUUUCACUUUAAAAGAAAAAAGACGAAGAAAAGGAAGAAUAUACACAGGGAUGACAAAGGAUAAAGUACACCAAUUUUAUCCUAUAAAAGUCUAUAAUCGUUAAUUAAUUAUAAAGCCGUCUGAUGCACGUAGAUAUGUCCGUCGAAAGCAGCCGUAAAUAGUAUUUCCUUACUGCAGUAAAGGUGUGUUAAGUAAGUAAUGGCGAUAGAAUUCAUUUGACGGUAAAACUCUCAUUAAUUGCAUUAUAGGAGCAUGAAAAUAUAUACUGUAUACAUAUAUAUGUACAUAUACAUGUAUAUAUUAAUAUAUAUCUAUAUACGGUAUAUAUAAUUUACUUAGGGUGUGUAUUUCGUAAUUCCCUAUAUGAGAAUAGAGUUUUGGCAAACUUCCAGAAAAACAUUGUACCUUAUUGUAUCUGCCUUAGCUAAUGAUAUGCUAUUUUCUAAUAUUAUCCUAACCCCCAGCAAUUUCUUUUUUUUUUUUUGAGAGAAUUCUACAAGAUUUUAAGUACGGAAAUGUUUCUUCUAGAAAAAAGUCACUCUAAAUUAAAUAGAGAGUAUUGUAACAUCAAUGUGGACAGGCAGAUUGGGGGGGGGGGAGAGAGAGGGAAUAAACUAAGGAAAUGAAACAAUAUAUAUAUAUAUAUAAACUGCUAUAUAAAUAGCCUACGUUUUUAAUCUUAUCAAGAAAAGAUAUGAGUCAUAAGGAAAACAGAAAUAUUUUCUGAUUAUUCAUUCUCUGUCGUAACUUGCGUUAUUGGUUUCAUAAAUAAAUAAAGCUUGUUUUAUCUUAAUUUAUUUUUUGUUUUACUUUACAGUCCUAAUACACACUCCACUACUACUGAACAGAUGAUGUUGAAUGAUUGAAAAAAAACGCGCGUCACGCAUUAUUGAUUACUUUUGCCCCUAAAUUAUUCUCGGCUGCUUUAAUGAGACAUGUUUUUCACCCAGGUAUAUUUUUCGAAGGGAGCUGUGCAUUUCCAUGGAAACGCCGUGGUAAAGAUGAAACGGAAAUACCUGUUCCCUUAUUUCCCUGAUACAUACAGCCUGCGAGUAUGCUUAAUAUGCGUAUACAACACAUUUAUACGUAGAAAGGUGUUAUGGAACAAAGAUAUAUAUAUAUAUAUAUAUAUUUAUAAACAGUGUA
RNAcentral lists this unclassified non-coding RNA (5333 nucleotides) under Dimorphilus gyrociliatus. RNAcentral describes it as "dgyrCDS13060". Lineage: Eukaryota; Metazoa; Annelida; Polychaeta; Dinophilidae. The record is from RNAcentral.